This 808-nucleotide ribosomal RNA is filed under the name Mesobacillus jeotgali. Its description in RNAcentral is "bacterial SSU rRNA". It matches the Rfam family "Bacterial small subunit ribosomal RNA", at positions 382 to 1182 of the family's 1533-position model. Lineage: Bacteria; Bacillati; Bacillota; Bacilli; Caryophanales; Bacillaceae. The record is from RNAcentral.
UCUGACGGAGCACGCCGCGUGAACGAUGAAGGCUUUCGGGUCGUAAAGUUCUGUUGUUAGGGAAGAACAAGUACCGGAGUAACUGCCGGUACCUUGACGGUACCUAACCAGAAAGCCACGGCUAACUACGUGCCAGCAGCCGCGGUAAUACGUAGGUGGCAAGCGUUGUCCGGAAUUAUUGGGCGUAAAGCGCGCGCAGGCGGUUCCUUAAGUCUGAUGUGAAAGCCCCCGGCUCAACCGGGGAGGGUCAUUGGAAACUGGGGAACUUGAGUGCAGAAGAGGAGAGCGGAAUUCCACGUGUAGCGGUGAAAUGCGUAGAGAUGUGGAGGAACACCAGUGGCGAAGGCGGCUCUCUGGUCUGUAACUGACGCUGAGGCGCGAAAGCGUGGGGAGCGAACAGGAUUAGAUACCCUGGUAGUCCACGCCGUAAACGAUGAGUGCUAAGUGUUAGAGGGUUUCCGCCCUUUAGUGCUGCAGCAAACGCAUUAAGCACUCCGCCUGGGGAGUACGGCCGCAAGGCUGAAACUCAAAGGAAUUGACGGGGGCCCGCACAAGCGGUGGAGCAUGUGGUUUAAUUCGAAGCAACGCGAAGAACCUUACCAGGUCUUGACAUCCUCUGACAACCCUAGAGAUAGGGCGUUCCCCUUCGGGGGACAGAGUGACAGGUGGUGCAUGGUUGUCGUCAGCUCGUGUCGUGAGAUGUUGGGUUAAGUCCCGCAACGAGCGCAACCCUUGAUCUUAGUUGCCAGCAUUCAGUUGGGCACUCUAAGGUGACUGCCGGUGACAAACCGGAGGAAGGUGGGGAUGA